GAUGAACGCUAGCUACAGGCUUAACACAUGCAAGUCGAGGGGCAGCAUGAAUUUACUUCGGUAAAUUUGGUGGCGACCGGCGCACGGGUGCGUAACGCGUAUCCAACCUUCCCGUUACUCCGGGAUAGCCUUCCGAAAGGGAGAUUAAUACCGGAUGGUGUUUGAAGUCCGCAUGAAAUUCAAACUAAAGAUUUAUCGGUAACGGAUGGGGAUGCGUACCAUUAGAUAGUAGGCGGGGUAACGGCCCACCUAGUCGACGAUGGUUAGGGGUUCUGAGAGGAAGGUCCCCCACACUGGAACUGAGACACGGUCCAGACUCCUACGGGAGGCAGCAGUGAGGAAUAUUGGUCAAUGGCCGUAAGGCUGAACCAGCCAAGUAGCGUGAAGGAUGAAGGUUCUAUGGAUUGUAAACUUCUUUUAUACGGGAAUAACACCAUCUACGUGUAGAUGUCUGCAUGUACCGUAUGAAUAAGCAUCGGCUAACUCCGUG
Molecule: ribosomal RNA, 490 nt
Filed under: uncultured bacterium
Lineage: Bacteria
Description: bacterial SSU rRNA
Rfam family: Bacterial small subunit ribosomal RNA
Source: RNAcentral